RNAcentral lists this long non-coding RNA (8117 nucleotides) under Pelobates cultripes (western spadefoot toad). The record is from RNAcentral. Lineage: Eukaryota; Metazoa; Chordata; Amphibia; Anura; Pelobatidae.
AGACCCCCAACGCAGAUUACCCAUGUACCUGAUGACAAUGACCUUGAUGAAGUUGAUGAAGAGGAAAAAAGGUACACUUUUCAUGUAAACUAAGAAAACUAAUACCUUAUAUAAUCUUCCACUUCUGAAAAAAAGUGAUAUAUAGAUGUAGGGCUGGUGCAACUGUUGGGAGAAUUAGGCAUUCACCUAGGGCACCGGCGCCCCACGAGAUAUAUCCUGGUGGGCUGCCCCUGUCUUGGGCCAGAGCACUGGGCGAGCGGCACUUGAGCUCCCUCCCGCUGCCCCAGCACCGGGUUGAUCCUACAGGAGCCCAAAGGUGGGGGCACCGAGAGGAGCCCUGUCACAGGGGAGCCAGGAGGCAGCCAUGUGGCCCCCAAGCAGUGCUUUAAUUGGUAUGGCAGAGCAGGCACCUGCUUACAUUGAUGGCAGGUGCCUGCUCUGCCGACAAAUUCCAGAGGAGAGGAGGGAGCGGGUGAAGCAGGCAAGAGUUGGCAGCUGUGAUGCAGGGAGGCGGAAUAUGAUGAAUUUCCAGUCCCUGCAUUCUAAACAGCGCCCUAGCGGAGUGCGGAGUUACCCCACACGGGACCCCGGGGAUAGGAGAGGACCCAGACCAGCUCUCCCAAAGGUAGGGAGGCUGGGUGGCCCUCAAAAAAAUUAAUUGUGUGAGUGUGUGUCUGUCUUUCAGUGAGUGAAUGUGUGUCUGUCUGUCAGUGAGUGAGUGUAUGUCUGUCAGUGACUUAGUAUGUGUCUGACUGUCAGUGUGUGUCUGUCAGUGAGUGAGUAUGUCUGUCAGUGUGUGUAUGUGUGUCUGUCAGUGACUUAGUAUGUGUCUGUCCGUAUGUGACAGACACACAACUGUAGGUAGGGAGGCUGGGUGGCCCUCAAAAAAAUUAAUUGUGUGAGUGUGUGUCUGUCUGUCAGUGAGUGAGUGUGUCUGUCAGUGAGUGAGUGCGAGUGUAUGUCAGUGAGUGAGUGUAUGUCUGUCAGUGACUUAGUAUGUGUCUGACUGUCAGUGUGUGUCUGUCAGUGAGUGAGUAUUUAUGUGUGUCUGUCAGUGAGAGUAUGUGUGUGUUACAUUGUAUAUGUAUGUCAGUGAGAGUAUGUGUGUCAGUGAGUGUGAAUGACCAUGCAAAUCGAUUAUUAUAUAUUAAAUUAUAUUUAAAAUAUAUAUUAAUACAGUUAUAUUAUAUUUUUAAUAAAGCUUGCUUAAAGUGAACCUGUCAGACAAGUUCACUGUAAGAUAAAUUAAAUCCCACUAUUGUUAUAAAUUAUAUUUUGCAUUAAAUACAUAAUUUAUUACAGCGAUAAAUUAUGUAUUCAAUGUAAAAUGUAUGUAUUAGGCAGUAUGUGUGUAUGGAUGUAUGUAUUAGGCAAUAUGUGUGUAUGUGUAGGUAUUAGGCAGUAUGUGUGUAUGAAUGUAGGUAUUAGGCAGUAUGUGUGUGUUGAUGUAGGUAUUAGGCAGUAUGUGUGUGUGGAUGUAGGUAUUAGGCAGUAUGUGUGUAUGGAUGCAUGUAUUAGGCAGUAUGUGUGUAUGUGUGGGUAUUAGGCAGUAUGUGUGUGUGAAUGUAGAUACCAGGCAAUAUGUGUGGGUAUUAGGCAGUAUGUGUGUGUGGAUGUAGGUAUUAGGCAGUAUGUGUGUGUGGAUGUAGGUAUUAGGCAGUAUGUGUGUGUGGAUGUAGGUAUUAGGCAGUAUGUGUGUAUGAAUGUAGAUAUUAGGCAAUAUGUGUGUAUGAAUGUAGAUAUUAGACAGUAUGUGUGUAUGAAUGCAGAUAUUAGGCAGUAUGUGUGUAUGAAUGCAGAUAUUAGGCAGUAUGUGUGUAUGAAUGUAGAUAUUAGGCAGUAUGUUGUUUAUGGAUGUAGGUGUUAGGCAGUAUGUUAUUUAUGGAAACCAUAUGGCAAAAUGUAGGCCAAAAUAGCUGGUCUAUAAGAAUUCUCCAAUUAGGCUACAGUUGCAAUUCAGCAGUUUUUGCUUAAACUUUGCAAGUUGUUUUUCAACUCCCUGCAAUUCAGAGUUUAGUGAAUAAACCUCUGUGAGAUUGUAUUUGCUUUCAUGAGGGACAGCAAAAUGGAUCUUUGCCUAAGGCGGCAUAAAUCCUUGCACUGGCCCUGAAAAAAAAAUAAAAUAAUAUAUAUAUAUAUAUCUCUGCUAAUGUUACCUUUUCAUUUCUUUAACCACUUCAUGACAUGUCCUUCUAAGAUUAUCAUUGGAGAGGAAAAUUCAAAUGUUGUGCCUGUUCAGUUGUCAUGAUGGGAUGGGAAGAUUCCAGCUUUUUUAUUGUAUAACAUAAGAAUCUAAAUUGAAAAAUUCAAAAUGGUUUUGAAUUUUUCAAGAUGAUCUGUUUUAGCCUCAGUUUUGCAAUAUUUAUUUAAAUUCAAUACAAAUCAGAUAAACGUAAUUAACCUUAAAUGCGUUCUUUUUUUUAUUUGUACAGAUAGCAAGGGGGCGAAAUGAUAAGGGGCACUGUGAUAUUAUUCCAUAUUAAUUUAGAAUGAUUGAUCAUUACUGAGCACAUUAAACUCUUAUAGAUAGUUAAGAUGGCGCUGGUAAGCAUAUAAGUACACACAGGCAGUAUCACUAGAUGCAGGCCUGUAUACCACAGCUACUAAUACACAGCACUGAAAAUGUUAAUAACCACAAAACACAGCACCAGAAUGACUCAUGCAUACCAUCACGAGAUAAUUAUUGUUACAUCGCUAGCUUUUAGAUCAGAAAUAAUUAACUGCACAGACCUGGCAUGGUAUUGUUGGUGGGCCUGAACAGCCGGGCCAGCUGCCGGUCCCAUCCAACGCUUUUGCAAGGUCUUUGCUGGGCUGCACUGAUAAGGAGACUUGAUGGAAAAGUACAGACUAUCUAUCCCAUUGGUAAGUCUCUGUUAAAAAAUGUAUAAAAGAUGAGAAAAUUUGGCUUUGAGUACUACCCACCUGUAAUACGGACGUGUAUUGCUGGUUCUGCUGAUAACCAGAAAGAUAGGGUCCCCUUCAAGCCUGACUGCCAGAAGUUCUCUCAGUCGAGUGCAGCAAACUUCUCUUAUGGCGAUGUAUACUUAAGCUAAUAUCUAGAUGAUUAAGCUGUUUCCUUAAGCUGAAUGAUUACUUCAGUGUCUUUCCCUUUCUCAAAUACUCAGUUCACUCAUCCCGAAUAGCGUUUUGGUGCCCACCAAUAUCUUUAAAAACCUUAGGGUAAUUGAUUAUUGCUUUUUGAUAUUGGCGCUUCAUGAAUAGUGUAGUGUUAGUAAUACAGAUAUGUAUUUCUAAUGCUACAAUGUUUCUUUAUGGCACUGGCUUUAAUGUAAUUCGCUUCUGAAACCCUUCUGAAAGUGUUACAGUGUUUACUGUAAAUUGCUGAAGGGACUUAUUAUACUCACCAGAACCAAUGCAAUCAGUUGUAGAUGUUAUGGUUACUAAGUGUCCCUUUAAAAUAAAGUCUAAAAUCAAUCAAUAUAAAAGCUUCCUUAUCCAAGACGCAUUUCACCAGUAAGCUUCUUCAUGUGGAUCUGCAGUUCUUGCUUUUAAAACCCUCUUCAUUAUAUGCAAGCGUGUCCUUCAUCUAAUUAUCCAAUCCCCCAAGAGGAAGGGCAAAGUGUUGGCACUCGCCGUGUUAGUCCAUGCGAACCCGAAGUAACAUAUCAGGAAUCAUCUUAAGUUCACUUCUGGUUAAUUUUGGGGAAACCCGGGUCAUGUGAGGAAGAGAGGCGUUGCGAUCAUGAGAACUUGUUUUCUCUGAAUUUAACCCAAAGGGACCUUACGGCGAUUCCCAAUACAUCUCUUACUGUUCGCAUGGACUAACGCAACGAGUUCCAGGAGUUUGUACUUGCUCAGCCAGAAAAAAAAGUUAAAUUUUCUCAGAACAAUCAGCAUACAUUGUUAAAAAAUAUAUCAUUAAAGGGACACUCAACUGGUCCAAAUAAAUUUUUUUUUUUUUAAAUCACUGCUUAGUAGAUAUACCCCUAAUGAAAACAUGUAUGCAUUUAAUUAUGCUUUUUUAAAUUGAGGUUUAUCUAAAAAAAGCUUGCAAAAGCUGCAGAUCUCUUGUCUGCAGUCUUUGCAAGCUGUCUCCUUUUUCCCCGGUCCAGACUUGUUGUGGCUGUCCAAUCACAGACUUCAUGAGACGUCUUUGCACGGAAGAUAAUAUGGGCAAUUAUCUGCCUCUUGAAUUUAUCUUCACUGUUAAACAACAAACAAAGCAACAGGGCCAGUUGAUUGACAGUUAGAAGGGUUUAACAAGGUUAAUUUGUAAAAGUGCCAAUUUCUAUUGAAACCUGUAUUUUUAGUAAAAGGAAAAAAGAGGACACACUCUUUACACAUAAAGUAUUUCAGCAAGCUAAAGUGCUCUAGGGGUCUGGAGUGUCCCUUUAAGUUUAGUUCAAUGCAAUAGCCUUUUAAAACACGAGAAAUGACAUUCUGAUGACAGUUGUUCUUUAAUUACAUACAGUUGUUAUACCAUUAUAAUAGACGUGCAAUUAAUGUGGGUACACUAGGAUGGAAUGUCCCUAUAGUGUAACGUUUACAAUCAUAAAAGGUUGACAAUAAAAAUAUGUUUGAAUUCAAUUUUAAUUGUCACGUUUCUAGCAAUACGUACUAUUACUAAUUCUGUCGCUAUUUCUUUUUUCACAUAUGCAAACAAAGGAUUGUUGGUAAGGAAAGCAAAAGCAAAGAUGGUAUUUUUGUAAGAGCCUGAACACUUCCAAAAUCCUGUGUAUAUCCUUCCAUAUGGAUCAGAGGGAGAGUACAUGACCAUUCGAUUCAACGCACACUACACAAAUACAUCCCCACAUUUACAUACACCCAGAGGCUUAACUAGGCCACGGGGCCCAAGUGCAAAAAUUGCCUUGAGGCCCCGCCAUACGUCUACCCCCCGCCACCUCCGCAUACGUCUACCUUAUCCCUCCCAUACGUUGCCCCAACACACAUGCAGACACACACAUAGCCACACACACACAUACAUACAUGCACACACGUAUAUAUACAGACAGACACAUACAUACAGACACAUACAAACACACACACACGUACAUACAAACACACAUACAUACAGAGUUCGAGCAGCAUUCCUGCACUUUUUCUUAGUAGUCCUGCAGGAGGUGGGGCUGCCGAUGGUCUGUCACAGGGAGCCCAGCAGGUUGCCAUCUGGCCACCUAAGUGCUCCCCAGAACGGCACUUAUUUAGCAAUGUAGAGUAGGCACCUUCUUGUCCCAGAGGCAGGUGCCUACUCUGCAGCAAUAUACUGGACUGGGCUGGGGUGAGGACAGAGUUAGGCGGCGGCGAGGGAGCGCUGUCUGAGCUGAUGAUCUUCCUGCUCCCUCGUUCUCCCUCUAUGGUGAUGCUGGGAGCCGGAAUAUGACGUAAUUCUGGCCCUGCAUCACUAAACAGUGUGAGGUAGGAGAGAGAUUUGUCGACACUGGACCCCAGGGAGAGGACUCAGAGGUCUCCUAAAGGUAGGAGAAACAAGCAAUACAAUGAAUUUGUGAGUGUGUGCAAGACUGUGUAAGUGUGUAUAUGUGUGUCAAUAAGGGUGUCUAUCAAUAAGUGUGUGUGUCUGUCAGUGUGACUUCCAGUGUGUGGGUCUGUCUGUUAGUAAGUGUGUGUGUCUGUAAGUAUGUGUGUUUCAGUGUUUGUGUGUGUGUGUCAGUAAGUGUGUGUCUGUCAGUAAGUGUGUGUGUGAUUGUAUGUGUCUAAACUUGAAGCACAGUAUGUGGGAGUGGGCACCUCUAAAGGGACAGAGUAGAUACUGACAAGUAAUAUUAAAGUGCCCUUAUGAAUAAAAGUGAAAUAAGCUGUCCUUUGGGACUUGUAGUAGUUAAAAUGUAACUUUUAUUAAAUAUAUGCAUGAUAAAAAUAGAAUACUUAAAACAAAAAGAAAAAAGGGAAAAUACAUGUAUACACAAAUGAUAAAUAAAAUCAGGUAGGGACCCAAUUCUUGCACGGUGAAAACCUGGCAGUCUGGGAGCAAUCUACUAAACAGUGCUUUCUGGCAGUAAGCCAAACAACAAAUUGCUCUGUCUAAACUGGGUUAAAUUUGUCAGGCUUACCUGAGUUUUAACCCCAAAUCAUUCUGACUCCACAAAGAGGACCAUCUACACUGACGGCAUUAAUAAAUGAGCACGGAUAACUUGGACGUACUCCGGAGAGGCUAUCUCCAUAUACUUGUCUUUGUAAACUGACGUUGGUCUUGGGUGAGUUCUCACACUUUUUUCCCCAGGACUUGACCCAUGCAUACAUACACACACAUACAUACACAUACACCUACAUGCAGACACACAUACAUACAAACAUACACACACAUAUAGAAAAUAUUUUAGUCAUCCUCCUUACCUUUUAGAUGCAGGAGAGUGACUUCCCUGGGGUCCAGUGGUGGCUCAGCCUGAUGGAAAUCAGAGUUCCCACUUUGAUUCCCUACUCUCCUUCCUCCUGCGUGGCUCCUGGUAGUUGCUGGGAGGAAGUGACUGGGGCUGUCACUUCCUCCCAGCCUCUGACCUCAUCAAAGGGGGCCCGGUCCCGCGGUCCCGCUGUCAAAGCGCCGCAGCGCUAACCGCCCCCCCCCUUCCCCCCCCCGGAAAUUCACAGCCAUCGGGUGGCCCUAACAGCAUGAGCCAACUGUUGGGCCCCUUAACGUGCGGCCCAGGCAGUUAUACCGUUCCGCCCGGGGCCACAACGCACCGCCUGGAGUGUUUAAUGAUUGGAUUGAGUAUCAUCCGCAUAGUCUUUCUUCCAUGUAGCCAUGAACGUGGCUAACAUUAACAGUGAGGUUUAUUCUUUAAAUAGGGUUCUCAAGAUGAACAGAAUACAGAAUUUGAGUAUUUUGUAAAAUGUCAAUUGCUGUAGCCUGUGUUUUGAUCAGUGAGUGGAGGCAAUCGAUAAAUAUUUUAGGUAACUACAUUACCUUCUCCCUAAUACUUAAACAGUGCUCUCCCAAUGUUGAGAAGUAUACAUACUCACCUUAAAUUAUGUACUCAUAAAAAGAGGGAUACAAAUAUAGACAAGAGGAACAGAGAACUUGUUUUUUUCCUUUAGUGGAAAAUGUGUAGAGCUAUAAUUUUCAAAACUGUGACUAAAUAUUAUCUAAGUCUCCAAACAUAAACCUCAAUUUAAUAUUUAAGAUUAGCUUUUUAAAAACCAUUUAACAUUUUCAAAAGUAUUUUGUUUGAUAUAUUUAUAUAUACGAUAUAUAUAGAGAGUGAUUUUUUUAAAUUUUAAUAGUUUCAAAAAAUUAUUUGAAAAGUUUUUUGUAACGUCAAGGCAAAGUCAUAAGUUAUCAACACAGCUAAACUUGAAUAUCUUGUAUAUUUGUAUAUAUAGAAGGUAGAUAUACUUACCUGAAAAUUUAUUUUACUGGAAACCACAGUACAGACAUGUCACUUUGUGUGCAAAAAAUACAAAGAACCCACAAGUGACAGUGCUGCUAAAAUAAGAACAAUGUCCAUCUGUGAAAAUAAUUGGAAUCUCUUUGAUUUUCAGAUGAUAAAAACACUCUGAAGAUUCUAAGUUAACUGAAGAUUGAUCCUGGACUGACUAGAACCAAUAUUAAAAUUAUGAAGAACUGAACAUGUGUUAUUUUAUUGGUAUUGUUUGUCAGAUCGUUAUAUGGCAAUUUAAAUUCAAUAAAAAGGUCACAUUGUAUACAUAUUUUUGUUUUAGACACUAAAAAGACGUUCCAAUGCAGCUCAAUGAGAAGUCUUUGGUUCUCUGAGCAAUAGCUGCCUCUUGAGUUUAUCUUCAAUAACUAACCAAACCAAGAAGUAACAGGACCGGUUGUCUGACAGCCUGGGGGUGUAAAAAGUGUUUUAAAUGUUUGGAGUGUUCCUGAAAACUAUAGCCAGUGGUCAACUGAAAAUGUAAAUCCAAAAGUUAGACCAACAUCACUGUACUAAAAAAAUGAUCUGACUAUCAUCACUUUUUUGUAACUUUUCCAAAAUUCACUGUUUAAGUCCAUAAUGUACAACUUGUAAUUUCUCUCCUUUUUCUUUGCUUGUUUCUUUCUAUAUUGAACUUUUGUGCAUAAGGUAUGUCACAAGUGAGCUUUAUGAAUUGUGGAUGUGGGGAGAUUGAAGUGCGAGAAUGAUAAAAGUGAAUGUCCUGAUUUGUUGAUGCUUGUAAGAUGAAGUUUCAUUGCAUAUGGC